Molecule: unclassified non-coding RNA, 346 nt
Filed under: soil metagenome
Description: partial contains 5.8S ribosomal RNA, internal transcribed spacer 2, and large subunit ribosomal RNA
Rfam family: 5.8S ribosomal RNA (bases 1-120)
Source: RNAcentral
GAUGAAGAACGUAGCGAAAUGCGAUAAGUAGUGUGAAUUGCAGAAUUCAGUGAAUCAUCGAAUCUUUGAACGCACAUUGCGCCCCCUGGUAUUCCGGGGGGCAUGCCUGUCCGAGCGUCAUUGCUGCCCUCAAGCCCGGCUUGUGUGUUGGGUCUCGUCCCCCUUCCCGGGGGGACGGGCCCGAAAGGCAGCGGCGGCACCGUGUCCGGUCCUCGAGCGUAUGGGGCUUUGUCACCCGCUCUGUAGGCCCGGCCGGCGCUUGCCGAUCAACCAAAACUUUUUUCCAGGUUGACCUCGGAUCAGGUAGGGAUACCCGCUGAACUUAAGCAUAUCAAUAAGCGGAGGA